RNAcentral lists this ribosomal RNA (372 nucleotides) under uncultured organism. RNAcentral describes it as "bacterial SSU rRNA". It matches the Rfam family "Bacterial small subunit ribosomal RNA", at positions 526 to 896 of the family's 1533-position model. The record is from RNAcentral.
CAGAGACUGCAAGCGUUAUUCGGAUUCACUGGGCGUAAAGGGUGCGCAGGCGGCCAUGUGUGUCAGGUGUGAAAGCCCGGGGCUUAACCCCGGAAUUGCGCCUGAAACUACGUGGCUAGAGCAUUGGAGAGGGUAGCGGAAUUCACGGUGUAGCAGUGAAAUGCGCAGAUAUCGUGAGGAACACCAGAGGCGAAGGCGGCUACCUGGACAAUUGCUGACGCUCAGGCACGAAAGCGUGGGGAGCAAAAGGGAUUAGAUACCCCUGUAGUCCACGCCCUAAACGGUGCACACUAGGUCUUGGCGGAUUCGACCCCCCCAGGGCCCAAGCUAACGCGUUAAGUGUGCCGCCUGAGGACUACGGCCGCAAGGCUA